Marmota monax (woodchuck) is the source of this 460-nucleotide non-coding RNA. The record is from the annotation of a RefSeq genome assembly. NCBI's taxonomy places the organism in Eukaryota, Metazoa, Chordata, Mammalia, Rodentia, Sciuridae.
UAUGCAAAAUGGGGCUCUUGCUCCUGAGUGAAGAGUCUCUAUAAGAUCCAUCUGGAGACUGGCCUCAGGUGACUUGGUGUAUUAUAUGCAGUAAGGAUCAUUUCCUUUGCUCAACAUGCUUUAUGUCACUGGUUCAGUUCUCCUGACCCUCUUAAUGUUCGGGAGGAGCAAUGGAGACUCAGUGACCCAGACAGCAGGCCUGGUUACUCUUAUAGAGGGGGCACCUGUGACCUUGAAUUGUACUUACCAGACCACUUAUUCAGGAUCUUUCCUUUACUGGUAUGUCCAGUAUCUUGAUAAAGCUCCUCAGCUGCUCCUGAAGAGUGCAACAGAAAACCAGAAGACAGAGAGCCAAGGUUUCCAUGCCACUCUUGUUAAGAAGGAGAACUCCUUCCACUUGCAGAAAACUGCAGUCCAAACAUCAGACUCAGCUGUGUACUACUGCGCUGUGGGAGACACA